AAAAUUCAACGAUGCUCUUCAAAGUUGGUCUCUUCUAGCGCACGUAGAACUUUUCUUUUGAGAUUUGAAAAAACAUUAUUAAAAAGAAAAAAUUAAAAGAUUUAUUAAAAAGAUCAAAUUAUUUAUUGAGGAAGCAGCAUCAAAUUCAAAAAUUAGAGAGGCAUUCACAGCUGGAUAAUGCUGACAAUUUCUUUAUGGAUUGUUAAUAUCAGUGCACUGUUUGAAUUAAGUCUUGAGGAACAGUGAUUAUCAUCUGGUAAGACAUAAGGAUCUAGAGACAGUAAUGCCUACAGUAACUAGAGACAAUAACAGCAGAUAUAGAAGUGGAGUGAUUAAUAUUCUAAGAAUUAGAAAUGAAGAGGAUAAGAGAAAGAAAAUUCACAAGUAAUUCAUUUGUGAAAGAAAAUUCACAAAUUCAUUUGUACAAACUGCAAGCAUUUUAACAUCAAAUCCUUUUUGGUAAGUCUUUAUUUUUUCUGGCCAACUAGCACAUUCUUAGGUUAACCUUUCACCUCUGUGUAGGAUGAACAGCUAGUACUUCCUACAUAGGGUUCCAACUGGCAAUUGGGCCUCUUUACAAUUCUUACACAAAACACUUCAUUCCUUUUAUUACUGAUUGGCUAUAUAU
Molecule: long non-coding RNA, 628 nt
Organism: Centruroides sculpturatus (bark scorpion)
Lineage: Eukaryota; Metazoa; Arthropoda; Arachnida; Scorpiones; Buthidae
Exons: 3
Source: RefSeq, a predicted model, not a curated record